Molecule: unclassified non-coding RNA, 672 nt
Filed under: Artemisia monosperma
Lineage: Eukaryota; Viridiplantae; Streptophyta; Magnoliopsida; Asterales; Asteraceae
Description: partial external transcribed spacer
Source: RNAcentral
UUCCUGAGUUUCCCAUCGUUCGGGGCAUUCUGGGGCUGUUUUGGCUAUUGGUUGCUUGUUCGGUCUUGAGCCGAACGGGGGGCUUCUAGUCGGGUGGCUUCGGGGAUGUUGUCCGUAAAGGUGGAUGAGUGGACCCUUCCUGACGACCCUUCCUGAUGACGGUUUACAUUCGUGACUUUCCCAUCGUUCGGGGCAUUCUGGGGCUGUUUUGGCUAUUGGUUGCUUGUUCGGUCUUGAGCCGAACGGGGGGCUUCUAGUCGGGUGGCUUCGGGGAUGUUGUCCGUAAAGGUGGAUGAGUGGUGUUUGGUUUGUUACGUGUGGUUGGCUGCGGCGUUUGCAACAACUUCCAUGCUCUCAGACCUCUUCAGUUGUGCGGCAAGGCUUGUAUCGCCUUGAGCGUAUCGUGGGUUUUCUGUGUUGGCUACCUAAUCGACGGUAUCGUUUGGAUUGAUCAAAGUGUGAUUUCGUCUUCCGUCGCGUUCGCGGCGUGAGGUGAACCUUGACGCGGUCUCUUUGAUCCAUCUCGUCGAAGCACAUGCUUUGACGUUGUGGCACAUUGAGCAUUGCUUGGUCUCAUGUGUACGGAACACGUAGCGGGCAUGGAUCUAACGAUUCUUGUUUGCCCUCAUAUNAGCGUAACGCUUCUCAAACACGACUUGCANCGCGUUUUAG